This 3364-nucleotide long non-coding RNA is filed under the name Malus domestica (apple). RNAcentral describes it as "long non-coding RNA (MDOM_LNC015032)". The record is from RNAcentral. Lineage: Eukaryota; Viridiplantae; Streptophyta; Magnoliopsida; Rosales; Rosaceae.
CCUCUCCCUGUCAUUUUGUCCUUUACUUUGAUUGCACACUGCAUCAAGUUAAAGCUCCCACCAACUGGAGAAAGAUACCAUGCUACAUCUUAUUUGUGUGCCAAUUGUGGAGCUCUCUUGGGGUUUCUGUAAGCGUUGGUCAUCUGGAAGGGACAGAAAAAUCUAGGCAACUAGGGUCUCUCUCACAUUCCACUUUCUCUAUAAAAAAAAAUCCCAAAAUUGGCUCUCCAGGACUGGAAGUGGAAGUAUGAGGUAUCCUUUUCUUUUUCCGGUAUUUUUUUUUAAAUUUCUUUAUUUCAUGCAUGGUGGAUUUCUCUUUGGUGAUUAUUGAAUUGCUUAUAUAUUUUCUUGGUAUUUAGGGUGAUCUAAUUUUUCUGGCUUUUCAAGAGCAGCGGCAUGAGGUACACUUUUCUUCUUUUUCUUUUUUUUUUUCUCUUUUUUUUUUCUUCUAAUUUUUAUGUAAUGGAUGCAGGUGGAUUCUCUGAGUAUACCUGGGAUAGUGAGAAAUUGGAGCUCAUCUGGGGCCAGAUCCAUUUGGAUUUUGGUGUCUGAUUGGAGGAAAAGAAAAUAAAAUAAAUUUGGGGUUUGUAUUGAUUUGAUGUUUGGUUUUAUUUAAUUUUUAUUCUUGCAUGUUUGCUUUUUCUGAAUUUUCACUGUUUGUUUUGUUAGUUGAAGAUUACGGUGUUUGAUUGAUUUCAAUGGGGUGAGUUGUUAAUUUGUCCUCUAUUUAUUCAUGUCAUUUUAUGAAUGCUUGCAUAAUCUGCAUCUCAUUUCACUAACUCUCUGGGUGUAUUUUUGAUAAAUUGUCACUGUUUUUUUCUGUUAAUUUUUAAGUCUCUGUGUGUGUUGUUUACCCCAGACUUUGGACAUCAACUUGUUCUGUUUUCUUGGUGGUUUGAUGCGUUUUGUGUUGUGUUUUUCGGUCAAUUGACUCAGUUCAUAUGAUUAAUUCCCAUCGUUUCCAUGCCAUAUUGGUUGAAUUUAUUUUAACUAUAUUUAUUUUUGUUGCAGCCAUAUCUCAUAUAAACAACAAGUAGAAGGUUUACAGGACAUUAACCAAUUAGUUGGGCUAUUAGUUCCUUUACUUUGUGAUGUCCCUGGUGUGAGUAAACAAAUGUUCAUGUACUUUAUAGUUAGGAGGAUUUAACGAGGCCUUUUCUAUGUGCUUUACUUUAUUAUGUUUUGAUAAACGGAGGUUCAACAACAGGUUACUGAAAUGAUCACUUAUAUAUAUAGCCUCCACCACAAAGUAAUUUCCUAAGAAAUGUGUAGUACUUUGUCUUCUGGGUUAGUGUUCUCUAAUUUAGAUUAGACAUUAAGGCUUUGAGCUUGGUAAGAUUUCUUUUCUUGAUGUACCUCAAUUUUUUUAUUCAUUGUUUUUCUUUUUGGAGUUUUCGAUUUACAAAUAAAUUCUACAUUUAAAUUCUCUUUUUGUGAUCCUUCAGAUUUUGUCUUUGUAAUCAGAUGGUUGAUAUCGCAAGACUGAUUUCAUUCUUCUUCACUUUCAAGAAGCACCGGUGUUUAUUGAAGGUAUAUAAUCUGUUUAGACAUUUAGUCUUCAAUGUAUCAAGUAUUUUGUGUUGUUAGUUUUAUGUUACUUUUGUUGCUGCCUGCCUUUUUUUUUCUUUCUAUUUUUUUCGUUUUUAUCCACUUCUCUUUCACAUUUGUGCAACCUAUUGUCCUCAGUUUAUAAUCUUUCGUUGGAUAAUCUGAUCGCCCAAUCUAUUCUCAAGCGAUAUCUUUGGUUUUAAACUGUUCUAACCAGUUUAAUCUUUAAAUUGUUCAAUGUUAACCCCAACAUUUUAUUUUCAUUCUAUACGCAUUGGAACCAAACUUAAUUGGCACUAAAAAUGUAUAAAGCCUUUAACUAUACCAUGAAUGCAAUGUUAGCCAGUAAAUAAUUAUAAAAGUAACUUUGUCAUGGGCUAUAAUCAUAUCCAUCAUCAUUCCAUGAUUGUUACCAACCUUUAAAAUCAAAUUUAGCAUCAGUAUGUUUUACCUCUGUUUCAAUCUUAACCAGUAGCGGCUACAAUUUUGUAUUAAUCACUGUUAUCAAUUGUUCUUAACAUAUGAUCAUCAGAUCCCAAUAUGUUGACCAUCGUUCUCCCUACCUUAUCGUAUGUGAAACGAUUAUAUUUACACUCACUUUUAUUCAUUGGAAACAGUAUUUGUGUCUCUCCAUAUCCAAUCCUUGGUGCAAAAUGUUUACAAUUUGACCUGUUUCAGUUUCCUACAGCCAAAUUGGAAUCAAUCUGAAAGAACUGCGCCUAUUCGCCGUCUUCAAGGUAUAACAUUGAUCACUCUCAACUUUUAAUUUCUUUUUCAACAUUUUUUCCUUUUGCAUUUCUAAAAAAACCUUUAUUCAAUAGAUACUGAUAUGGUCACUUACAGCAUAAAAAAACUUCAUCUUUUUUGUCAAUAUUUAAGUUUUUCUUAUUUUUCUUCAUGAACCAGGUCAGCCCAUAACUCUGUAACCAUCCACGUAUAUAACUUAUCCAUUUUGAUCAUUGUGGUAUCAAUACAAAUUUACUCUUAUUUUUGAGGUGGGAUUGGUCUUAAAACAGAAGAACCAAAAUUUAAUUGAUCCCAUUGUUCUGUACACAAAAAUUCCAUCGACCCAAAAACCUCACAUGGAAAACAAACGUAUUCACCUUUUUUUUUUUUGCUUCUCCUUAGUUUUUACCUAUUUUUUUCAUUUUUGUUUUCACAGUUUCCUUCAUGAUUAGGUUGAGCACACAGUUUUUAAACCUAUUAAACCAUAUUCGUUUUAAGUGUUUUGCUUCAUUAUUUAACAUUCAUUUGGAUUUGUGAUUGAUAUCAACUUGGUGAGGUUUUCAUUACUUGCAAAGCAUGUUUAGAGUAAUGCCUUUAAACUACGUCAAAUUUUCAAUGAAAAAUCUUGAAUGCCUCGACAUUUAUCCAAUGGAUAAAUUCAUUACAUUCUUUUCGGUGAAACACUAAAGGUCCUAUACGCCAGUCUCUUUUAUCAUCCUCAGCAAACUAUUCUUAUCAUUUUGAGCCCAACUUCAGACAGUCUGCAUUUACUAAUGAAACGAUUGUUUGUUGACAGUUUGACCCUAAUACCUCUAGAAAUUAUCUAUGCAUGGACCACUACUGUAACCCGUUCUCAACCGAUGAACUUCAAACGAUGGUGCGUGUCGCGUCAUUUUUCCUUCCUCACUAUUUAUUUAGCUAUUACAUAUCCAAUCGUAUUGAUUCCUACAGAACAAUGUUUACUUUUCCCGCAACCUCUUAACUUUACAAUGUUUUACAAUUUCUUUCCUGCUGCAUUAUAAUAGAAAUGUGAAGAAUAAAGUCAAUUUAAACACCUAAUAUCUAUCUAUGUUCUUCAUUGUCCCAUAAG